UACGGGGGGGGCAAGCGUUGUUCGGAAUUACUGGGCGUAAAGGGCUCGUAGGCGGCCAACUAAGUCGGACGUGAAAUCCCCAGGCUCAACCUGGGAACUGCGUCCGAUACUGGAUGGCUUGAAUUCGGGAGAGGGAUGCAGAAUUCCAGGUGUAGCGGUGAAAUGCGUAGAUAUCUGGAGGAAUACCGGUGGCGAAGGCGGCAUCCUGGACCGACAUUGACGCUGAGGCGCGAAAGCCAGGGGAGCGAACAGG
This 253-nucleotide ribosomal RNA is filed under the name uncultured bacterium. RNAcentral describes it as "partial 16S ribosomal RNA". It matches the Rfam family "Bacterial small subunit ribosomal RNA", at positions 524 to 776 of the family's 1533-position model. The record is from RNAcentral.